This 305-nucleotide ribosomal RNA is filed under the name uncultured bacterium. RNAcentral describes it as "bacterial SSU rRNA". It matches the Rfam family "Bacterial small subunit ribosomal RNA", at positions 338 to 660 of the family's 1533-position model. The record is from RNAcentral.
CCUACGGGACGCAGCAGUGGGGAAUAUUGCACAAUGGGGGAAACCCUGAUGCAGCGACGCCGCGUGAGUGAAGAAGUAUUUCGGUACGUAAAGCUCUAUCAGCAGGGAAGAAAAUGACGGUACCUGACUAAGAAGCCCCGGCUAACUACGUGCCAGCCGCCGCGGUAAUACGUAGGGGGCAAGCGUUAUCCGGAUUUACUGGGUGUAAAGGGAGCGUAGACGGCAAUACAAGUCGGAAGCGAAAUACGCGGGCUCAACCUGGGAACUGCUGUGGAAACUGUAUUGCUGGAGUUCUGGAGAGGUAA